GAAUAUUGGACAAUGGGGGGAACCCUGCUCCAGCCAUGCCGAGUGUGUGAAGAAGGCCUUUAGGAUGUAAAACAAUAUAAGCGAGGAGGAGGAGCACUUGGUUAUUACCCAAGAUGCAUGGACGUUACUCGCCGAAUAAGCACCGGCUAACUCUGUGCCAGAAGCCGCGGUAAUACAGAGGGUGCAAGCGUUAAUCGGAUUUACUGGGCGUAAAGCGCGCGUAGGUGGCCAAUUAAGUCAAAUGUAAAAUCCCCGAGCUUACCUUGGGAAUGCCAUGCGAUACUGGUUGGCUAGGGUAUGGGAGGGAAUGGUAAAAUUCCAGGUUUAGCGGUAAAAUGCGUAGAGAUCUGAGGAAAUACCGAUGGCAAGGGCAGCCAUCUGGCCUAAACCUGACACUGAGUUGCAAAAGAAUGGGGAGCAACA
RNAcentral lists this ribosomal RNA (423 nucleotides) under uncultured bacterium. RNAcentral's name for it is "partial 16S ribosomal RNA". It matches the Rfam family "Bacterial small subunit ribosomal RNA", at positions 359 to 773 of the family's 1533-position model. The record is from RNAcentral.